This 1326-nucleotide ribosomal RNA is filed under the name Sarcophaga anchoriformis. RNAcentral describes it as "16S ribosomal RNA". The stretch from base 1075 to 1234 matches the Rfam family "Archaeal large subunit ribosomal RNA", at positions 2544 to 2703 of the family's 2987-position model. The record is from RNAcentral. Lineage: Eukaryota; Metazoa; Arthropoda; Insecta; Diptera; Sarcophagidae.
UUAUAUUUUAUUUAUUAAUUAAUUUUUUUUUUAUUAUAAAUUAUUAAAAAUAAUUAUUAUGUGUUUUGUUUAAGUAUUUUAUAAAGAAAAAAUAAUUUUAAUUAUAGUUAAAUAGUAUUGUGAAAGAAAAUUGAAAUAAUUUGAAAAAUUAAUAUUUAAAAAGAAAAUUUAAUUUGUUGUACCUUGUGUAUCAGGGUUUAUUAAAUAAAAAUUAUUUAAUAUAAUUUUCUCGAUUUUAAAAGAGUUAAUAUGUUAUAAAAGUUAAUGUGAUAAAAUUAUUUUAUAUAAUAUGUUGGAAAUGAAAUGUUAUUCGUUUUUAAAGGUAUCUAGUUCUUUAAGAAAUAAAUUUAAUUUAGAAAUUUUAUAUUAUUUAAUUAAGUAUAUUAAUUAAAUAAUUGUUUUAUUUUAAUAUUUUGUGGGAUAAGCUAUGAAAUAAAUUAUUAAAAAUUAUUAAAUAAUUUAAUAAAUAUAAGCUUAGAAAUAGUUAUUAUUAAUGAAAUUGUUAUAAUUUAUUUUAUUAAAUUGAUUAUUUAUUUAAUUUUAAUUAUGUAUUAAAGUAUUUAUUUUAAUUAUAAAAAUAAAAAAAUAAUGAUAAAAUUAGUAUAUUAUAUUGUAUAAAUAUAAUUAAUUGAUAAGUUUUUAUAAAGAACUCGGCAAAAAUAAUGUUCGCCUGUUUAACAAAAACAUGUCUUUUUGAAAUUUUUUAAAGGUCUAGCCUGCCCACUGAAUAAUUUAAAUGGCCGCAGUAUACUAACUGUGCAAAGGUAGCAUAAUCAUUAGUCUUUUAAUUGAAGGCUGGUAUGAAUGGUUGGACGAGAUAUUAACUGUUUCAUAAAAAAUUAUGAUAGAAUUUUAUUUUUUAGUUAAAAAGCUAAAAUAAAAUUAAAAGACGAGAAGACCCUAUAAAUCUUUAUAUAUAUAAAUUAUUAUAAUUUUAUAGAUUUUUUUUAUUAUAAUAGUUAAUUGUAUUUUAUUGGGGUGAUAUUAAAAUUUAAUAAACUUUUAAUUUUAAAAAUCAUUAAUUUAUGAAUAAUUGAUCCGUUAAUAACGAUUAAAAAAAUAAGUUACUUUAGGGAUAACAGCGUAAUUUUUUUGGAGAGUUCAUAUCGAUAAAAAAGAUUGCGACCUCGAUGUUGGAUUAAGAUAUAAUUUUAGGUGUAGCCGCUUAAAUUUUAAGUCUGUUCGACUUUUAAAUUCUUACAUGAUCUGAGUUCAAACCGGCGUAAGCCAGGUUGGUUUCUAUCUUUAAAAAAUUAAAAUAUUUCAGUACGAAAGGACCUAAUAUUUAAUAAAUAAUUAUUUUUAUAUUGAAUAUAAAUAAUUUAU